RNAcentral lists this transfer RNA (74 nucleotides) under Spirochaetota bacterium. Its description in RNAcentral is "Spirochaetes bacterium tRNA-Arg". It matches the Rfam family "tRNA". Rfam says of the family: Transfer RNA (tRNA) molecules are approximately 80 nucleotides in length. Their secondary structure includes four short double-helical elements and three loops (D, anti-codon, and T loops). Further hydrogen bonds mediate the characteristic L-shaped molecular structure. tRNAs have two regions of fundamental functional importance: the anti-codon, which is responsible for specific mRNA codon recognition, and the 3' end, to which the tRNAs corresponding amino acid is attached (by aminoacyl-tRNA synthetases). tRNAs cope with the degeneracy of the genetic code in two manners: having more than one tRNA (with a specific anti-codon) for a particular amino acid; and 'wobble' base-pairing, i.e. permitting non-standard base-pairing at the 3rd anti-codon position. The record is from RNAcentral. Lineage: Bacteria; Pseudomonadati; Spirochaetota.
GCCUCCAUAGCUCAACUGGAUAGAGCAGCGGUCUUCUACACCGUAGGUUCCGGGUUCAAAUCCUGGUGGGGGCG